RNAcentral lists this microRNA precursor (84 nucleotides) under Bombyx mori (domestic silkworm). Its description in RNAcentral is "mir-2807 microRNA precursor family". It matches the Rfam family "mir-2807 microRNA precursor family". Lineage: Eukaryota; Metazoa; Arthropoda; Insecta; Lepidoptera; Bombycidae. The record is from Rfam by way of RNAcentral.
UUAACUCAAAUUUAUAUGGAAUUGCAACGUUUGCUUACCUUUGCCGCUAAGGGCACUGUUCCAACUGCGUACAAAUUUCAGUUA